Molecule: ribosomal RNA, 524 nt
Filed under: uncultured bacterium
Lineage: Bacteria
Description: bacterial SSU rRNA
Rfam family: Bacterial small subunit ribosomal RNA
Source: RNAcentral
GGGGAAUAUUGGACAAUGGGGGGAACCCUGAUCCAGCGACGCCGCGUGAGUGAAGAAGUAUUUCGGUAUGUAAAGCUCUAUCAGCAGGGAAGAAAAUGACGGUACCUGACUAAGAAGCCCCGGCUAACUACGUGCCAGCAGCCGCGGUAAUACGUAGGGGGCAAGCGUUAUCCGGAUUUACUGGGUGUAAAGGGAGCGCAGACGGCGAAGCAAGUCUGAAGUGAAAUGCAUGGGCUCAACCCAUGAAUUGCUUUGGAAACUGUUUGGCUUGAGUGUCGGAGGGGUAAGCGGAAUUCCUAGUGUAGCGGUGAAAUGCGUAGAUAUUAGGAGGAACACCGGAGGCGAAGGCGGCUUACUGGACGACAACUGACGUUGAGGCUCGAAGGCGUGGGGAGCAAACAGGAUUAGAUACCCUGGUAGUCCACGCAGUAAACGAUGAAUACUUGGUGUCGGGGAGGUAAACUUUUCGGUGCCGCAAGCAAACGCAUUAAGUAUUCCACCUGGGGAGUACGUUCGCAAGAAUG